CUAUGUCUGUCCAGUGAGCAGAGGUUGAGGUUGCGCAAAGUCAAAAUAUAACAGACACUUUUUCCUGCUUUUUCAGAUGCCUCGGGGGGAGAGGAGGAGAGAGAACCGGAGAAAGAGGAGAAACAGCCCACAGGAGAAGAAAGGAAAGAAGAGGAAACAGGAACCCGUUCCGGCUAAGAAGAAGACUGCACUGAAAUCCCAGGAGUGAUUUAUGGCUCAGGAGAAGAAAGUUGAUGAGGGCGAGAAAAAGACCAAGAGCAAGAGAUAGGUAACGAGUGGAGGACAGAGGAGCCUCUUAAAGAAGAAGUUACAGAUGUGUACUUGGGUAUAACUUAAUAGUCUGGUGUUGGCUUCCCCUCCUCAUCUCCUCUUCUUCAUCUGACUGACCUGUGGAGGAAGUUAAAAGAGUAGAGGAGCAGCUGAAGCUUGAGGUGACAUGCAUUGGGGAGGGAACACCAGGGAGACUGAAAGCCCUCCUAGGGAAAGGGUUUUAACUCCAGUUUGGCCUUGCCAGCGCUGAGCUUCCUGCUUCUGAACUGGAAUUGGAGGGACCAGAAGCCUCACAUGAUGGUGGACAUCCCUGAUGUCCAAACGGAUUUGCUGAAGCUGCUGGAUACAGGCAUCUUGAAAGGCUGUAGAGAAGGAAACACAAACACACACCCAACCAUUUCGAACGGGACCUCUUCUGCUCUCACACAAACACACACACACCACAGUUAUUGUAGUAAACAAAAACUGAAACAAAAAUUGGGAAAACAAUUGCAAAACAGAAUAAAAUAAAAUAAAUAACAAUUAUUUGUUUUGUUUAAGUUUUUUAUUCUGAAGUUUGAGCAAAAAUCAAAUGUUUUUGUUGAUGUUUAGUUUUGAUUUACAUUUGGUUGAGAUGUCAACUAAAGUGAUUUCAACGUGAAAUCAAUAACAAAUGUCACCAUGUCACUGGAGUU
Oncorhynchus keta (chum salmon) is the source of this 944-nucleotide long non-coding RNA. RefSeq lists it as uncharacterized. The transcript has 7 exons. The record is from RefSeq and is a predicted model, not a curated record. NCBI's taxonomy places the organism in Eukaryota, Metazoa, Chordata, Actinopteri, Salmoniformes, Salmonidae.